GUUAACCUGCAAGGUUAGCUCAAAACUCAGAAACCUCCAGUUAGAGAUCAGAUUGGCUGACACACAGAACAGAUAGCUUCACACCACAGUGAUAUUUAUAGUGCUGCUCUAAGCCCAGGGGAGUUCUUUUGAAGCAAAAAUCCAUUUAGGAAAUAAUUCUUUUUGAAGGACUUGUGAUGGGGAUGCUCCUUGAAGGUUUAUUAAUAAUCCUCUGGAUGCAGACACGGGUGAGUGGCCAACAGCUGAAUCAGAGUCCUCAGUCUCUGUCCAUCUCGGAAGGAGAGAGCAUCUCCAUGAGCUGCAUUUCUCCCAGCACAUUAAACACCUUGCUAUGGUACAAGCAGGAUGCUGGGAAAGGCCCUGUCCUCUUGGUAACCUUAUAUAAAAGUGGUGAUUUUUUCAGAAAUGAGAAACUGGCUGCUCAGUUUGGUGAAACGAGAAAGGACAGCUUUCUGAACAUGUCAGCCCCUGAACUUGCCGAUGCGGGCACCUACUUCUGUGCUGGGCAGCACAGUGCUCCCCUCACACCUGCAGCCCGCACUCAAACCUGCAACGGGACCCCAGUCUCUGUACUUCCUCUAGCUCCUGCUCCUCUUGGCAUGAAAUGUGGUUAUGCAUACAGCCCAUGAAUUCUUAAUGCUUUAUCUUCCAAACAAAAAUAUGAGAACAUGAUCA
Molecule: non-coding RNA, 675 nt
Organism: Pipistrellus kuhlii (Kuhl's pipistrelle)
Lineage: Eukaryota; Metazoa; Chordata; Mammalia; Chiroptera; Vespertilionidae
Source: the annotation of a RefSeq genome assembly